UUGCUAUUUCUUGGGCGACUGAGA
Molecule: microRNA, 24 nt
Filed under: Brachypodium distachyon (stiff brome)
Lineage: Eukaryota; Viridiplantae; Streptophyta; Magnoliopsida; Poales; Poaceae
Description: bdi-miR7717c-5p
Source: miRBase by way of RNAcentral